AAGGGCACCACAAGAACGCGUGGAGCAUGUGGCUUAAUUUGACUCAACGCGGGAAAUCUUACCGGGUCCGGACACACUGAGGAUUGACAGGUAUUAUUGUAUGAUCACCAUUUUUAUGUGUGUAUCAUACAUGUUAAAUAUGCUAGUCCUUUCAUGAUUAUGUGAUAGGUGGUGCAUGGCCGUUCUUAGUUCGUGGAGUGAUCUGUCUGCUUAAUUGCGUUUCACUAAGGGCCUAUAAAUUUACGUAUGAUGCGGCGCUUUGACCCCUCUUAAUUGAGCGCGUGUCUUUGUUUGCUUAGCACAUACAAUUAGGUCCUGAAAGCAACGAACGUGACCGCAACCUCUUGUUGCCUCUAUACCAAACACAUAGUUGUAUCUUUAUGAUUACACUUUGUGCAAAGAGGCCUUUUAAACUAGAGGGACCGCUGUUACUUUCUUAAACCAGAGGAAGGUUGCGGCAAUAACAGGUCUGUGAUGCCCUUAGAUGUUCCGGGCUGCACACGUGCUACAAUGAUUAUUGGCAAUGAGCAUCUCAUUUUUACACACGCAUGCGCCGAGUCUAUUUAUUCACCUUAAGUGUGCUUUAAAAUAUGUAUCUCUGCGCGCGGUAAAGCCUGUUCCGAAAGUAAGUGGGUAAUCAAUUAGAAGUAAUGAUUUCCUUAUAUAGCACACAUAUAUACGGCAUCUUUUACCCGGGUUACCUUGUUGUAAGUUUCUUGUGUGUAUUGAUGUUUUUUCCGUAUGUGCGAUUGUCAAUUCAUGGUGGGGACAGACCAUUGUAAAUUGUUGGUCUCGGUCUUAACUAGGAAUGCCUUGUACGGGUCUUUGGUUCAACAAACCACCCGGAAUACGUCCCUGCCCUUUGUACACACCGCCCGUCGCUCUUACCGAUGGACUUCUCUGUGAGUUUGAGGGGCUGGGAACGCAUAUAAUUCAUUAUAUGCACACCUAUGGAAACUUAAACGAACAGUGUGGUCUAAAGGAAAGAGAAGUCGUAACAAGGCAUCGGUAGGUGAACCUGCAGAAGGAUCA
This 1032-nucleotide ribosomal RNA is filed under the name Heterostegina depressa. Its description in RNAcentral is "bacterial SSU rRNA". It matches the Rfam family "Eukaryotic small subunit ribosomal RNA", at positions 1160 to 1828 of the family's 1831-position model. The record is from RNAcentral. Lineage: Eukaryota; Foraminifera; Rotaliida; Nummulitidae.